This 904-nucleotide ribosomal RNA is filed under the name Rachicladosporium luculiae. Its description in RNAcentral is "LSU rRNA". It matches the Rfam family "Eukaryotic large subunit ribosomal RNA", at positions 36 to 964 of the family's 3401-position model. Lineage: Eukaryota; Fungi; Ascomycota; Dothideomycetes; Cladosporiales; Cladosporiaceae. The record is from RNAcentral.
UAGCAUAUCAAUAAGCGGAGGAAAAGAAACCAACAGGGAUUGCCCUAGUAACGGCGAGUGAAGCGGCAACAGCUCAAAUUUGAAAUCUGGCGUCUUCGGCGUCCGAGUUGUAAUUUGUAGAGGAUGCUUCUGGGCAGCCACCGGUCUAAGUUCCUUGGAACAGGACGUCAUAGAGGGUGAGAAUCCCGUAUGCGACCGGAAAGGCACCCUCCACGUAGCUCCUUCGACGAGUCGAGUUGUUUGGGAAUGCAGCUCUAAAUGGGAGGUAAAUUUCUUCUAAAGCUAAAUACUGGCCAGAGACCGAUAGCGCACAAGUAGAGUGAUCGAAAGAUGAAAAGCACUUUGGAAAGAGAGUUAAAAAGCACGUGAAAUUGUUGAAAGGGAAGCGUUUGCAACCAGACUUGCUCGCGGUGUUCCGCCGGUCUUCUGACCGGUUCACUCGCCGCGUUGCAGGCCAGCAUCGUCUGGGGCCGCCGGAUAAGACCUUGGUAAUGUAGCUCCUCCUCGGGGGAGUGUUAUAGACCAUGUUGAUGCGGCGCGUCCCGGGCGAGGUCCGCGCUUCGGCUAGGAUGCUGGCGUAAUGGUUGUAAACGGCCCGUCUUGAAACACGGACCAAGGAGUCUAACAUCUAUGCGAGUGUUCGGGUGUCAAACCCCUACGCGUAAUGAAAGUGAACGGAGGUGGGAACUUUAUUGUGCACCAUCGACCGAUCCUGAUGUCUUCGGAUGGAUUUGAGUAAGAGCAUAGCUGUUGGGACCCGAAAGAUGGUGAACUAUGCCUGAAUAGGGUGAAGCCAGAGGAAACUCUGUGGAGGCUCGCAGCGGUUCUGACGUGCAAAUCGAUCGUCAAAUUUGGGUAUAGGGGCGAAAGACUAAUCGAACCAUCUAGUAGCUGGUUCUGCCGA